Molecule: ribosomal RNA, 253 nt
Filed under: uncultured bacterium
Lineage: Bacteria
Description: partial 16S ribosomal RNA
Rfam family: Bacterial small subunit ribosomal RNA
Source: RNAcentral
UACGGGGGGGGCAAGCGUUGAUCGGAAUUACUGGGCGUAAAGCGUUCGUAGGCGGUUUACUAAGUCUGACGUGAAAUCCCUCGGCUUAACCGGGGAACUGCGUCUGAUACUGGAUGGCUUGAGGUUGGGAGAGGGAUGCGGAAUUCCAGGUGUAGCGGUGAAAUGCGUAGAUAUCUGGAGGAACACCGGUGGCGAAGGCGGCAUCCUGGACCGGCACUGACACUGAGGAGCGAAAGCCAGGGGAGCAAACGGG